UAGGGAAUCUUCCACAAUGGACGCAAGUCUGAUGGAGCAACGCCGCGUGAGUGAAGAAGGUUUUCGGAUCGUAAAGCUCUGUUGUUGGUGAAGAAGGAUAGAGGCAGUAACUGGUCUUUAUUUGACGGUAAUCAACCAGAAAGUCACGGCUAACUACGUGCCAGCAGCCGCGGUAAUACGUAGGUGGCAAGCGUUGUCCGGAUUUAUUGGGCGUAAAGCGAGCGCAGGCGGAAUGAUAAGUCUGAUGUGGAAGCCCACGGCUCAACCGUGGAACUGCAUCGGAAACUGUCAUUCUUGAGUGCAGAAGAGGAGAGUGGAAUUCCAUGUGUAGCGGUGGAAUGCGUAGAUAUAUGGAAGAACACCAGUGGCGAAGGCGGCUCUCUGGUCUGCAACUGACGCUGAGGCUCGAAAGCAUGGGUAGCGAACAGG
This 429-nucleotide ribosomal RNA is filed under the name bacterium. RNAcentral's name for it is "partial 16S ribosomal RNA". It matches the Rfam family "Bacterial small subunit ribosomal RNA", at positions 355 to 776 of the family's 1533-position model. The record is from RNAcentral.